GUAUGUCAUUAAAUCUCAUUUUCAACGAAUCAUCCAAGUGUAAGUCACAAAGUAGUUGUUCUUUUUAAGUUAGGUUCUGAGGAUGAACGGAUUCCUCACAUAAUCGUAUAGUUAGUUCACACGGGAUGAAAAAUAAUAAUCGGUUUUCUUUGACAGUUCCUCAAGGUGGGAUACAAUAAAACUUGAAAUCUGUUGAUAUCCAUCAUUAUUUUUUAGUCCCACCAGAAGUUCAGACAUAUCAAGAUUCCCUUUCACAUCAUCUUUCCAAAAGUUUAAUUUUCGUUUAUAUCCAAGAACCUUUUCACUUGAAGUUAAUAUAUUUUCUCUGUCUUGCAGUAACUUAUCCAGUUGAUUUAAGUAACAUACAUUUCUACUAAAUAAGCUACCAUCUGCACCCCUAUUUGAUUCUCAAAGCAGUUAGUAGAAUCUUGCUUGUCGUUUUGUUGAAAAUAUGCAUUUUUCCCUUUAGCUGAAAAGCCCUAUUAAAAACUGCCUGUGCUUAACCACCAGGUUUAGUGUAUAACAACAGAUUUAGGUGCUCUUUAUCUUUGUUUCCAAACAGUUUUAAAAAUUCUGGAAUGAAGUGGCUUUCAUUUAAUGAAGUUUACAAUUUUUAUAUCAUCAUCAAAUAUCUUUUGUAGCUCAUUAGCAACAGAUUUUGACAUCAACGCUUCUCUAGGAAUUAAAUAGCAUGCGGAAAAAAUAAUGGCAAUUUUUUUUCUUUUAGAACAGUAACAAAGCCUUUUAUGGAGAAAACCAUAGAAGGAGGGCAGUCCGUACAACUGCAAAUACAAUUCUUCCAAGAAAGAUUUUUUUUCCAGUAAGCCUCACUCCUGACUACGAGUUCCCAAAGAAAUCUCAGCCAGCAGAUGUGCCUGGAAGCUAAAUUUUCAACAGCAGGAAAUCUACAAUAGUAUGAUGGCCAGCCUAUGCUACAAAAUGCUCUGUGAAAAACCUAUCAACUUAAUGUGCAUUUGAAUUUGAACUAAUUUGCAUUCCGUUUGAAGCUGAUGAAAAUAAAUAUCAUGUUAAAGCCUAAAUAAUAACAAGAACAGGUUAUUAAAAAAAACUUUAUAAAUUUC
Molecule: long non-coding RNA, 1082 nt
Organism: Stegodyphus dumicola
Lineage: Eukaryota; Metazoa; Arthropoda; Arachnida; Araneae; Eresidae
Source: RefSeq, a predicted model, not a curated record